This 379-nucleotide ribosomal RNA is filed under the name uncultured eukaryote. Its description in RNAcentral is "SSU rRNA". It matches the Rfam family "Eukaryotic small subunit ribosomal RNA", at positions 587 to 972 of the family's 1831-position model. The record is from RNAcentral.
AGCUCCAAUAGCGUAUAUUAAAGUUGUUGCAGUUAAAAAGCUCGUAGUUGGAGUUCGGGGAAAGCUCAGUCGGUCGGCCUAAUGGGUCAGAACUGGCUGACUCUCUCUUGUUUGCGGAUCCCUCCCGGAGUUAACUCUUCAGGUUGUGGAGUCCGCAUCGUUUACCUUGAAAAAAUUAGAGUGUUCAAAGCAGGCGUUUGCUUGAAUAUAUUAGCAUGGAAUAAUGGAAUAGGACCCUGGUUCUAUUUUGUUGGUUUUGAGAGCCAGAGUAAUGAUUAAUAGGGAUAGUUGGGGGCAUUCAUAUUUCAUUGUCAGAGGUGAAAUUCUUGGAUUUAUGAAAGAUGAACUUCUGCGAAAGCAUUUGCCAAGGAUGUUUUCA